CACACACACACACACAUCCUGUCAGUUUAGUUCAAGCCUUCAGGGAGGAAAGAUCCUUGAGGACAAAACACUUAUAAUUCACUUAAGGAAGAAUGAAAAGUGUGUUAAGUGUGGUGGUGGUGGUGGUGGUGGUGGUGGCGGUGGUGGUGGUGGUGGUGGAAGGAGGAACGGCACCAAAAUUACAAGAGAAACAGGUGUACAAGCGUCAGAUCUUCCGCGAGGCAGUGUUACCAGCGAAAGGAGGAAUCAUACCACUUGGCGCCUUUGCCCCAAGAAGACUGGAAUAUAAUGUUUUGGAUCAGCUGGGUGUAGAAUCGCCAGACGGAAGAGUGUUCAUACCGAGGGAAUUUGACAAUCGCCUAGGCCAGCUGGACCCUGAAGAUGAGGAAGAGCUGCUAAGACUGAUCCCAGAGCCGCCCUAUGCUGGGGAGGGUGUCUUGCCCACCACCUACCUCCUCCGGCGUCCAGUUGCCGCCCCGAUCCGCCCGCCCGCCCCGCCCGCGCCGCCAGUCCCGCCCCGCCCCGUCACCCGCCUCGCCCCAACACUGCAUUUCUCUCUGUAGGCGUGGCCGCGCACACCCACGCCCGCACACACCCAGAGAGAGAGAGAGAGAGAGAGAGAGAGAGAGAGAGAGAGAGAGAGAGAGGUGAUUUACAUGUGUGUGUGUUUGUGUUUCUCUGUUUAGUUUUCUUCUUCUUCUUCUUCUUCUUCUUCUUCUUCUUCUUCUUCUUCUUCUUCUUCUUCUCCUCCUCCUCCUCCUUCUUUUCUUUUUCGUUCUU
Molecule: long non-coding RNA, 780 nt
Organism: Portunus trituberculatus (swimming crab)
Lineage: Eukaryota; Metazoa; Arthropoda; Malacostraca; Decapoda; Portunidae
Exons: 5
Source: RefSeq, a predicted model, not a curated record